UAGAAGAAUCAACUCAGAAAUAUUGUCAAAAAUGAAAAGAACCAAAAACUACAGGUAGACUCAGUACUGAAACGUAACAAAUUGUGCCACCGUUAAAUCAAGUACUGAAACAUAACAAAUUUAAUUAAAAUUCACGUACAUUUCUUGGUUCGAUUUUGGUUGGUCCAUGUGUCAUUCGCCUUGCCAAUUCCAAAACAAACAGGAUCAGCAGUUCACCACUCUCUGCUAGCUAGAAAGGUAAACCAAAAAACCCAGAUUGAACUGAGGGUGUAGCACCCACUGUGUGUCUUCUACCCUACCAGUAACAGGAAAAUAGCACAAACACUGACACAGUCUACACUACACUUUGCUCGGUUGCUUGUGUCUCUACCUCCUUCACCGCCAGGGGCUCAUACCAGGCAGGCCCAAAUCCAGCCGCUUUCCUAGCUUCCGUAUUGAAAGGGGGCUUCAGUGGUNNNNN
This 460-nucleotide long non-coding RNA is filed under the name Hordeum vulgare. Its description in RNAcentral is "long non-coding RNA (HVUL_LNC016137)". Lineage: Eukaryota; Viridiplantae; Streptophyta; Magnoliopsida; Poales; Poaceae. The record is from RNAcentral.